This 253-nucleotide ribosomal RNA is filed under the name uncultured bacterium. RNAcentral describes it as "partial 16S ribosomal RNA". It matches the Rfam family "Bacterial small subunit ribosomal RNA", at positions 524 to 776 of the family's 1533-position model. The record is from RNAcentral.
UACGUAGGGUCCGAGCGUUGUCCGGAAUUAUUGGGCGUAAAGGGCUCGUAGGCGGUUUGUCACGUCGGGAGUGAAGACUCAGGGCUCAACCCUGAGCGUGCUUCCGAUACGGGCAGACUAGAGGUAUGCAGGGGAGAACGGAAUUCCUGGUGUAGCGGUGGAAUGCGCAGAUAUCAGGAGGAACACCGGUGGCGAAGGCGGUUCUCUGGGCAUUACCUGACGCUGAGGAGCGAAAGCAUGGGGAGCGAACAGG